Molecule: ribosomal RNA, 253 nt
Filed under: uncultured bacterium
Lineage: Bacteria
Description: partial 16S ribosomal RNA
Rfam family: Bacterial small subunit ribosomal RNA
Source: RNAcentral
UACAGAGGAGCCAAGCGUUGUCCGGAUUGACUGGGCGUAAAGCGCACGCAGGCGGACGCGCGCGUGGGGUGUGAAAUCUGGCCGCUUAACGGCCAGGCGCCAUCCCAUACGGCGGGUCUGGAGCCUUGCAGAGGUCGGUGGAAUUGCCGGUGUAGCGGUGAAAUGCGUAGAUAUCUGAAGGAACAUCAGUGGCGAAAGCGACUUCCUGGACCAAUACUGACGCUCAUGUGCGAAAGCGUGGGGAGCAAACAGG